AGGACUAACGCUGGCGGCGUGCCUAACACAUGCAAGUCGAACGAAGUAGCAAUACUUAGUGGCAGACGGGUGAGUAACACGUAGUCAACCUGCCCUUCAAUGGGGGAUAACUAGCCGAAAGGUUAGCUAAUACCGCAUACGAUCUCUGAGUGGCAUCACUCGGCGAUGAAAGGAGUAAUCCGUUGAAGGAGGGGACUGCGUCCCAUUAGUUAGUUGGUGGGGUAAUGGCCUACCAAGACUCCGAUGGGUAGCUGGCUUGAGAGAGCGACCAGCCACACUGGAACUGAGACACGGUCCAGACUCCUACGGGAGGCAGCAGUGAGGAAUUUUCCGCAAUGGGGGAAACCCUGACGGAGCGACGCCGCGUGUGGGAAGAAGGCCUUCGGGUCGUAACCACUGUCGAGGGGACGAUAUUGACGGUACCCCUGGAGGAAGCCCGGCUAACUACGCGCCAGCAGCCGC
RNAcentral lists this ribosomal RNA (462 nucleotides) under uncultured bacterium. RNAcentral describes it as "SSU rRNA". It matches the Rfam family "Bacterial small subunit ribosomal RNA", at positions 26 to 518 of the family's 1533-position model. The record is from RNAcentral.